Molecule: ribosomal RNA, 461 nt
Filed under: uncultured bacterium
Lineage: Bacteria
Description: bacterial SSU rRNA
Rfam family: Bacterial small subunit ribosomal RNA
Source: RNAcentral
GAUCAUGGCUCAGAACGAACGCUGGCGGCAGGCCUAAGUCAUGCAAGUUGAACGGCUGUAGCAAUACAGCAGUAGCGGACGGGUGAGUAAUGUAUGGGAACGUAUCUUCUAGUGGGGAAUAUUCUUUGGAGACGAAGAGCAAUACCGCAUGAGUCCUACGGGAGAAAGUCGCAAGACGCUAGAUGAGCGGCCCAUAUUGGAUUAGCUAGUUGGUUAGGUAAUGGCUGACCAAGGCAACGAUCCAUAGCUGGUCUAAGAGGACGAUCAGCCACAUUGGGACUGAGACACGGCCCAGACUCCUACGGGAGGCAGCAGUCAGGAAUAUUGGACAAUGGGGGCAACCCUGAUCCCAGCCAUGCCGCGUGAGUGUUAAGGUCUUCGGAUUGUAAAGCUCUUUUGUGUGGGAAAAUGAUGAUGGUACCACAAGAAUAAGCACCGGCUAACUUCGUGCCAGCCGCCGC